This 955-nucleotide long non-coding RNA is filed under the name Zea mays. RNAcentral's name for it is "long non-coding RNA NONZMAT003174". The record is from RNAcentral. Lineage: Eukaryota; Viridiplantae; Streptophyta; Magnoliopsida; Poales; Poaceae.
AGGUACGGGCCAUCAAUCAACUUCCCAAACUAAGCGACGCUCGCGGCCCAUGCACGUGGCCACGUCCCACGGCAAGCCUUUCCUUUUGUUUUAUUUGCUUGAUUCUACUUUUUUUUUUCCUUUUUACUAUUUUUUGUUUUCGGUGAUAUUAUAUUCUCAUUUUCAUUUUACUUAUAUGUUCAAAUUUUAUUUUUAUUACUUUCUAUUUAAUUUUAGUUAGCUAUUUCCUUUAUUUAUUUUAAAUUCCAUUUUAUUCUAUCUUUUAAUUUUUAUUUGCCUUUUCUUUCCCAUUCCUAAAGAUUUUCUUAUAUUGAUUUAUUUUUUAGUUUUAUUUAUUAUUAUUUUCAUUACAUUCUAAAUUAUUAUUUUCAUUUUUAUCCUUUUUUAUGUUCUAUAUUUUUAUUUACAGUAUUCUGCGAGAUGAAAAUGAUAUUCACUUAGUAUAUAUUUAUGACGCAACGAUAUUUUUAAAAAAAUUUCACUAUAUCAAUGAGUUCAUUCUAAGAUUUUCCAUGCCGUAUCCCACAAAAGUUUAAACAUGAUGCUUCAUUAUAUAUAUAAUGUACUAUUCACAGAGUAUCUAUAAGAUAUCUUGUGAUGCAUUCUAUGUUGUUUCGUUCGGUGUCUUUUACUUUGCUUUAUUACCAUUUGUUGUUAUUUAUUUUUUUUACCUUUUCUUCUUUAUUUACUCUAGUUAAUUAUUUGAAUUGUUUAUACUGCGUGCGAUCCUGAUCAGGGUAUACGAAUACGAUGCCCCCGGCCUUUUGAGGCUUCAGGCUCGUGACCACGGAAACAUCUAGAUUCAUCGUUCAUGCACGGUCACGAGUCCCUGAUCUGCCUGCUAACUCCUAGUUAACCAGAUGCUCAGCUAAUAAAGAACGCAAUUUGGUUUUUACUAGUUCACCUGCCGUGUUUCGUACCGAACACCUGCUGAAGUAAAAAGACACUCGCAAUC